GUGGAUGUAGCUCAAUAGGCAGAGCGCCGCACUGUGGAUGCGGUGGUUGUGGGUUCAAGUCCCAUCAUCCACCCCA
RNAcentral lists this transfer RNA (76 nucleotides) under Chloroflexota bacterium. RNAcentral describes it as "Chloroflexi bacterium (anaerobic digester metagenome) tRNA-His". It matches the Rfam family "tRNA". From Rfam's summary of the family: Transfer RNA (tRNA) molecules are approximately 80 nucleotides in length. Their secondary structure includes four short double-helical elements and three loops (D, anti-codon, and T loops). Further hydrogen bonds mediate the characteristic L-shaped molecular structure. tRNAs have two regions of fundamental functional importance: the anti-codon, which is responsible for specific mRNA codon recognition, and the 3' end, to which the tRNAs corresponding amino acid is attached (by aminoacyl-tRNA synthetases). tRNAs cope with the degeneracy of the genetic code in two manners: having more than one tRNA (with a specific anti-codon) for a particular amino acid; and 'wobble' base-pairing, i.e. permitting non-standard base-pairing at the 3rd anti-codon position. RNAcentral also lists the same sequence under 2 other names. The record is from RNAcentral. Lineage: Bacteria; Bacillati; Chloroflexota.